AGAACGUCGUGAGACAGUUCGGUCCCUAUCCGCCGUAGCCGUAGGAGAUUUGAGGAAGGCUGUCCCUAGUACGAGAGGACCGGGACGGACGCAGCUCUCGUGUGCCAGUUGUCCUGCCAAGGGCACUGCUGGUUAGCGACCUGCGGAAGGGAUAAGCGCUGAAAGCAUCUAAGCGCGAAGCUCGUUCCAAGAUGAGAUCUCCCACUGGGUAACCAGGUAAGGCCCGUGGCCAGACGACCACGUUGAUAGGCCGGAGGUGUACGCACGGCAACGUGUUCAGCCGACCGGUACUAAUCGGCCGAGGGCUUGAAUCAA
Molecule: ribosomal RNA, 315 nt
Filed under: Actinomycetota bacterium
Lineage: Bacteria; Bacillati; Actinomycetota
Description: partial 23S ribosomal RNA
Rfam family: Bacterial large subunit ribosomal RNA
Source: RNAcentral